GAUGAACGCUGGCGGCGUGCUUAACACAUGCAAGUCGAACGGGAAUUAUUUUAUUGAAACUUCGGUCGAUUUAAUUUAAUUCUAGUGGCGGACGGGUGAGUAACGCGUGGGUAACCUGCCUUAUACAGGGGGAUAACAGUCAGAAAUGGCUGCUAAUACCGCAUAAGCGCACAGAGCUGCAUGGCUCAGUGUGAAAAACUCCGGUGGUAUAAGAUGGACCCGCGUUGGAUUAGCUUGUUGGCAGGGUAACGGCCUACCAAGGCGACGAUCCAUAGCCGGCCUGAGAGGGUGAACGGCCACAUUGGGACUGAGACACGGCCCAGACUCCUACGGGAGGCAGCAGUGGGGAAUAUUGCACAAUGGGGGAAACCCCGAUGCAGCGACGCCGCGUGAAGGAAGAAGUAUCUCGGUAUGUAAACUUCUAUCAGCAGGGAAGAUAGUGACGGUACCUGACGAAGAAGCCCCGGCUAACUACGUG
RNAcentral lists this ribosomal RNA (478 nucleotides) under uncultured bacterium. Its description in RNAcentral is "partial 16S ribosomal RNA". It matches the Rfam family "Bacterial small subunit ribosomal RNA", at positions 28 to 507 of the family's 1533-position model. The record is from RNAcentral.